UGAAAGUUCUUCGGGGCGAGUAAAGUGGCGCCCCGGUGAGUAACGCGUGGAUAAUCUACCCUUAAGAUGGGGAUAACGGCUGGAAACCGUCGCUAAUACCGAAUACGCUCCCGAUUUUAUCGCUGGGGGGAAAGAUGGCCUUUGCUUGCAAGCUAUCGCUUAAGGAUGAGUCCGCGUCCCCUUAGCUAGUUGGCGGGGUAACGGCCCACCAAGGCAACGAUGGGUAGCCGGUUUGAGAGGAUGACCGGCCCCCCUGGAACUGGAACACGGUCCCGACUCCUUCGGGAGGCAGCAGUGGGGAAUAUUGCGCAAUGGGCGAAAGCCUGACGCAGCGACGCCGCGUGAGGGAUGAAGGUUCUCGGAUUGUAAACCUCUGUCAGGGGGGAAGAAACCCCCUCGUGUGAAUAAUGCGAGGGCUUGACCGUUUGGCGGAAGGAAGCACCGGCUAACUCCGUG
Molecule: ribosomal RNA, 456 nt
Filed under: uncultured bacterium
Lineage: Bacteria
Description: bacterial SSU rRNA
Rfam family: Bacterial small subunit ribosomal RNA
Source: RNAcentral